CCUACGGGGGGCAGCAGUGGGGAAUAUUGGGCAAUGGGCGCAAGCCUGACCCAGCAACGCCGCGUGAAGGAAGAAGGCUUUCGGGUUGUAAACUUCUUUUAAGAGGGAAGAGCAGAAGACGGUACCUCUUGAAUAAGCUCCGGCUAACUACGUGCCAGCAGCCGCGGUAAUACGUAGGGAGCGAGCGUUAUCCGGAUUUAUUGGGUUUAAAGGGUGCGCAGGCGGAUUUUUAAGUCAGCGGUCAAAUCGUGGGGCUCAACCCCAUCCAGCCGUUGAAACUGGGGAUCUAGAGUGUGCGAGAGGUA
Molecule: ribosomal RNA, 305 nt
Filed under: uncultured bacterium
Lineage: Bacteria
Description: bacterial SSU rRNA
Rfam family: Bacterial small subunit ribosomal RNA
Source: RNAcentral